CGGCCAUCAAGUAGGGGGGUUCUGGGUCGUUUAGACAAAGGGACAACAAGAAGUCUCCACUCCUGUUCUUCAAGAAGCCAACGCUUGCCAGCACAAGUCAACAGAUUUUUUGGCGUAGUCAGUGGGAUCUGAGCUCUGCAAGGUUUUCCAGCUCUUCAGAUGUCUGAUGCUGUAAACAUCUGCUGCAGUCGGACGGAAAACAAGAAUCCGGUGACGGUCUGCUGGUGGCUGAUCCUGUGUUGUAAAGACGCUGAACCUUCACCUCUUACACUAACGCUACCAGAAGCGGAAAGACCUCCAAGAACCACACAACCUGAACCAGCCAAAAAUACUUCCGGUUCUACUAACAGAUGACCAUCUGAGUGUUCUACAGAGACAAUAUCAUCAGUCAUCAAGACAUCAAAGCCAGAAACUCGCAGAUGACCAAGAUGAUCAAAAUAAAUCCGAACUUUGUUUUCAGGACUGUCGU
Molecule: long non-coding RNA, 469 nt
Organism: Colossoma macropomum (tambaqui)
Lineage: Eukaryota; Metazoa; Chordata; Actinopteri; Characiformes; Serrasalmidae
Exons: 3
Source: RefSeq, a predicted model, not a curated record